RNAcentral lists this small RNA (1406 nucleotides) under Pan troglodytes (chimpanzee). Its description in RNAcentral is "retained intron". The record is from RNAcentral. Lineage: Eukaryota; Metazoa; Chordata; Mammalia; Primates; Hominidae.
ACUCCGAGCUGUGACCGCGCACCAACAACAGCAACAACUCCACUGCGCCGGGCUGAGGAGCAGGAAUUAGGAGCUCGCGAAUAAUAUGAAAGGGAUCCGCAAAGGGGAAAGCCGAGCAAAGGAAUCCAAACCCUGGGUGCCUGGCACGCGAAGAUGCGCUAAAUGUGGCCGCCUAGACUUCAUCCUGAUGAAGAAAAUGGGGAUUAAAAGUGGAUUUACGUUUUGGAACCUCGUCUUUUUAUUGACGGUGUCUUGUGUGAAAGGAUUUAUUUAUACAUGUGGUGGAACUUUAAAAGGACUUAAUGGCACUAUAGAAAGCCCUGGUUUUCCAUAUGGAUAUCCAAAUGGUGCAAACUGUACAUGGGUAAUAAUAGCAGAAGAACGAAAUAGAAUACAAAUUGUUUUUCAGUCAUUUGCUCUAGAAGAAGAAUACGACUACUUAUCAUUAUAUGAUGGACAUCCUCAUCCUACAAACUUUAGGACAAGGUUAACAGGAUUCCAUCUGCCACCUCCAGUGACAAGUACCAAAUCUGUGUUCUCACUACGUUUGACCAGUGAUUUUGCAGUUAGUGCUCAUGGAUUUAAGGUAUAUUACGAAGAAUUGCAGAGUAGCUCUUGUGGAAAUCCUGGUGUUCCACCCAAAGGUGUAUUAUAUGGUACAAGAUUCGACGUCGGGGACAAGAUCCGCUACAGCUGUGUAACUGGAUACAUCCUUGAUGGCCACCCUCAGCUCACCUGCAUAGCCAAUUCAGUUAAUACAGCUUCGUGGGAUUUUCCUGUUCCUAUCUGUAGAGCUGAAGAUGCUUGUGGAGGAACAAUGAGAGGAUCCAGUGGCAUCAUAUCCAGCCCUAGUUUUCCUAAUGAGUACCAUAACAAUGCUGAUUGCACUUGGACCAUUGUAGCAGAGCCUGGGGACACAAUUUCACUCAUAUUUACUGAUUUUCAAAUGGAAGAGAAAUAUGAUUACUUAGAAAUAGAAGGUUCUGAGCCACCUACCAUAUGGUUAUCUGGAAUGAACAUACCACCACCAAUUAUCAGCAACAAAAACUGGCUCAGACUGCAUUUUGUUACAGACAGCAAUCAUCGAUACCGUGGAUUUAGUGCUCCCUAUCAAGGUAUAUUUAUGGAAUACCUCUGCCUCUUUUGAUAUGUAAAAUAAUUUUGGUGUACACAACUACGUUUUGUGAUAGAAAAAUGUCUUUAGCAUUUAGAAAUUAGAAUUUGUAUUGAAAAAAAUGGUCAUGCUGUUGCUGAGACAAUAAUGUGAUCAUAACUAAAUUACAGUAUUAAAGUUAGUUGAUUUUAUAGUAUAAUAUUCAGAAUAAUGAAUAUUAUGAUUUCUAAAAGGUAGUAUGUAGCAGAUGCAAUAUUUUUCUUUAAUAAAGUGCUUCAGCAAUUGGAUAUAC